Molecule: ribosomal RNA, 460 nt
Filed under: uncultured bacterium
Lineage: Bacteria
Description: partial 16S ribosomal RNA
Rfam family: Bacterial small subunit ribosomal RNA
Source: RNAcentral
CCUACGGGCGGCAGCAGUGAGGAAUAUUGGUCAAUGGACGAGAGUCUGAACCAGCCAAGUCGCGUGAAGGAUGACUGCCCUAUGGGUUGUAAACUUCUUUUAUAUGGGAAUAAAAUGUUCCACGUGUGGGAUUUUGUAUGUACCAUAUGAAUAAGGAUCGGCUAACUCCGUGCCAGCAGCCGCGGUAAUACGGAGGAUCCGAGCGUUAUCCGGAUUUAUUGGGUUUAAAGGGAGCGUAGGUGGAUUGUUAAGUCAGUUGUGAAAGUUUGCGGCUCAACCGUAAAAUUGCAGUUGAAACUGGCAGUCUUGAGUACAGUAGAGGUAGGCGGAAUUCGUGGUGUAGCGGUGAAAUGCUUAGAUAUCGCGAAGAACUCCGAUUGCGAAGGCAGUUCACUGGACUGCAACUGACACUGAGGCUCGAAAGUGUGGGUAUCAAACAGGAUUAGAUACCCGGGUAGUC